GUGAAUCAUCAAAUUUUUGAACGCAAAUUGCACUCUCUGGUAUUCCGGAGAGCAUGCCUGUUUGAGGGUCAGUUUAAAUAAAAAUCGGUGUGGUUGCUGCCUUUCGUGGUGACGCACCGGUUUUGAGUCGCCUUGCCUUCGGUUAAGUGACUUAGCAUUUUGCAUGCUUUUUUCGUACGUCUUUAAAUGAUUUUACGUAAGUUUGCGAUAUCGUAUACCUGG
Molecule: unclassified non-coding RNA, 222 nt
Filed under: Glomeraceae sp.
Lineage: Eukaryota; Fungi; Glomeromycota; Glomeromycetes; Glomerales; Glomeraceae
Description: partial contains 5.8S ribosomal RNA and internal transcribed spacer 2
Rfam family: 5.8S ribosomal RNA (bases 1-71)
Source: RNAcentral